Molecule: ribosomal RNA, 373 nt
Filed under: uncultured organism
Description: partial 16S ribosomal RNA
Rfam family: Bacterial small subunit ribosomal RNA
Source: RNAcentral
GUAGGUGGCAAGCGUUGUCCGGAAUUAUUGGGCGUAAAGCGCGCGCAGGCGGUCCUUUAAGUCUGAUGUGAAAGCCCACGGGCUCAACCGUGAGGGACAUUGGAAACUGGGGGACUUGAGUACAGAAGAGGAAAGCGGAAUUCCAAGUGUAGCGGUGAAAUGCGUAGAGAUUUGGAGGAACACCAGUGGCGAAGGCGGCUUUCUGGUCUGUAACUGACGCUGAGGCGCGAAAGCGUGGGGAGCAAACAGGAUUAGAUACCCUGGUAGUCCACGCCGUAAACGAUGAGUGCUAAGUGUUAGGGGGUUUCCGCCCCUUAGUGCUGCAGCUAACGCAUUAAGCACUCCGCCUGGGGAGUACGGCCGCAAAGGCUGA